GAUGAAGAACGCAGCGAAAUGCGAUAAGUAAUGUGAAUUGCAGAAUUCAGUGAAUCAUCGAAUCUUUGUACGCACAUUGCGCUCCUUGGUAUUCCGAGGGGCAUGCCUGUUCGAGCGUCAUUACACCACUCAAGCUAUGCUUGGUAUUGGGCGUCGUCCUUAGUUGGGCGCGCCUUAAAGACCUCGGCGAGGCCACUCCGGCUUUAGGCGUAGUAGAAUUUAUUCGAACGUCUGUCAAAGGAGAGGAACUCUGCCGACUGAAACCUUUAUUUUUCUAGGUUGACCUCGGAUCAGGUAGGGAUACCCGCUGAACUUAAGCAUAUCAAUAAGCGGAGGA
This 337-nucleotide unclassified non-coding RNA is filed under the name soil metagenome. RNAcentral describes it as "partial contains 5.8S ribosomal RNA, internal transcribed spacer 2, and large subunit ribosomal RNA". The stretch from base 1 to 120 matches the Rfam family "5.8S ribosomal RNA", at positions 35 to 154 of the family's 154-position model. The record is from RNAcentral.